CAGCCCCCCGAGUGGUAGGGAUGUUUAUUUGGCCUAAAGCGUCCGUAGCCGGCCGAGUAAGUCCCCCGUUAAAUCCAGCGUCUCAAGCGUUGGACUGCGGGAGAUACUACUUGGCUAGAGAGUGGGAGAGGUCAGCGGUAUUCUGGGGGUAGGGGCGAAAUCCUUUGAUCCCCGGAGGACCACCAGUGGCGAAGGCUGCUGACUAGAACACGUCUGACGGUCAGGGACGAAAGCUGGGGUAGCGAACCGGAUUAGAUACCCGAGUAGUCC
This 270-nucleotide ribosomal RNA is filed under the name uncultured archaeon. Its description in RNAcentral is "partial 16S ribosomal RNA". It matches the Rfam family "Archaeal small subunit ribosomal RNA", at positions 477 to 747 of the family's 1478-position model. The record is from RNAcentral.